CGGGCCUGAAGGGUCGGGUUGGAUUGGUAGGCCGACACCAAGGCUUCGGACAACGUUUCGGCGUGGACGGGAGCG
RNAcentral lists this transfer RNA (75 nucleotides) under Pararhodospirillum photometricum DSM 122. RNAcentral's name for it is "tRNA-Asn". The record is from RNAcentral. Lineage: Bacteria; Pseudomonadati; Pseudomonadota; Alphaproteobacteria; Rhodospirillales; Rhodospirillaceae.